RNAcentral lists this ribosomal RNA (253 nucleotides) under uncultured bacterium. RNAcentral's name for it is "partial 16S ribosomal RNA". It matches the Rfam family "Bacterial small subunit ribosomal RNA", at positions 524 to 776 of the family's 1533-position model. The record is from RNAcentral.
GACGUAGGGCGCGAGUGUUGUCCGGAUUUAUUGGGCGUAAAGAGCUCGUAGGCGGCUUGUUGCGUCGACUGUGAAAACCCGCGGCUUAACUGCGGGCUUGCAGUUGAUACGGGCAGGCUAGAGUUCGGUAGGGGAGACUGGAAUUCCUGGUGUAGCGGUGAAAUGCGCAGAUAUCAGGAGGAACACCGGUGGCGAAGGCGGGUCUCUGGGCCGAUACUGACGCUGAGGAGCGAAAGCGUGGGGAGCGAACAGG